AACGAACGCUGGCGGCAUGCCUAACACAUGCAAGUCGAACGAUACCUUCGGUUCUAGUGGCGCGCGUGUGCGUAACGCGUGGGAACCUGCCCUUAGGGUCGGAAUAACGCCCCGAAAGGGGUGCUAAUACCGGGUAAUGUCGUCUGACCAAAGAUUUUUCGCGUUUGUAUGGGCCCGCGUUGGGUUAGGUAGUUGUUAGGGUAAAAGCCUACCAAGGCGACGAUCCAUAGCUGGUCUGGGAGGAUGAUCAGCCACACUGGGACUGAGACACGGCCCAGACUAAUACGGGAGGCAGCAGUGGGGAAUAUUGGAGCAUGGGCGAAAGACUGAUCCAGCCAUGCCGCGUGAGUGAUGCAGGCGUUAGGGAUGUAAAGCUCUUUUAUCCGGGAUGAUAAUGACAGUACCGGGAGAAUAAGCUCCGGCUAACUCCGUG
Molecule: ribosomal RNA, 433 nt
Filed under: uncultured bacterium
Lineage: Bacteria
Description: partial 16S ribosomal RNA
Rfam family: Bacterial small subunit ribosomal RNA
Source: RNAcentral